GGCAAACACCUGCACUCUUAGUGGAGAAAUGAAUCUCAGUGUUUUAGAUAUUUCUAAUUUUGCAUUUGCUAAGGAGUUUUCAGUUCCUUUGUUCUGUAAUUAUUGUGGGUUAACAAAUAUCAAAAGCAUCAUACAUGACCAAACCCCAAACCCACCACUUUGCUACAGGCUCAUUCACUUGAGAUUGCCCAAUGGCUCUACCUAGUGGUGGUUUUCCACAGUGAAGCCUUGGUUAAAAUACUUAUGAGGAAAAUAAUUCUAAAUAUAAAAUGUUUUAAAAGGCACAGUUAUGACAGAAAAAUUGUCUAAUGUUUUGAUUGAUCGCACCUAUUGAUUGGAACCUAUUUCUUAAUCGCGUUCAAUGCCAGGAACCUACAGGGAAUUCAUACUGUUGAGGAAUCCCCUCCUCUCCCUCCCUCUGUUCAUAAUCUGGGUUUAAAGGACAGAGAAGUAAGUAGCCUCACUGCUGAUGAGAAAUAUAAUAUAGAAAGGGAGAGAGAGCCAAUUGGAACAUUACUUGUGUCUGUGCGGUGGAUAUAAAAAGGACACACUAGUCUGCUUUUUAAGUCGAGCGGCUGUGAAUUGGAGAGCCACAGGAUGUCAAAGGACCAGCUGGACUCGAUGGUGAAUCAUGCUGAGCACUUGCUCUCACAGGCCAUUCAGCUGCACACUCAUUGUCAGGAGGAGAGUGUCCAAUUGGCUGCUCUAGCUCAGCAGCUGAGAAAUGAAGGCCAGAGUCUACAUGAGCAAAGUGCUGUGCUUCAACAGGACAUGGCUGGGAUGUACAAGUCGUUUGAAGCUUUGAUGGACACCAAGGUGGCGUUUGAAGCCAAAGAGAGGCAGGCCCGUAAACUCAGCAAGCAACUUUGAGUCAAGGGGAUUAAAUGGAUGGGAUUAAAUGAUUGCCUGUAUUUAGAGCCAUCAGAAUUCAGUGAAUAGGUAAAUGACAGGAUAAAACAUUUUCAGUUAAAGAUGUAUUCUGUACAAUAAUUUAAACUGAUCUGGUGUUUUCUUUUAAUCCUCUAAUUUCUCCACAACAUUUGUACAAGACAAGUAUAAGCGAACAAAUAUAACUUUCAUUAUUCACAAUUUUGCAAGAAACAAUAAAAUAAACCCUUCACAUACAGUAUAGUUGUUAUAUUUAGAUGUUAAAUGUUACCAAUAUGAAUAGAACCCUUUUGGGGGGGGGGGGGAUUAUAAA
Myxocyprinus asiaticus (Chinese sucker) is the source of this 1201-nucleotide long non-coding RNA. RefSeq lists it as uncharacterized. The transcript has 2 exons. NCBI's taxonomy places the organism in Eukaryota, Metazoa, Chordata, Actinopteri, Cypriniformes, Catostomidae. The record is from RefSeq and is a predicted model, not a curated record.